UAUAAAUGUAUUAUUAUUAUGAUUAGCAGCAGCACCACCACCAACGUGAUCACCCUGUGUCAGAUACUGCAUGGUAUGGAGUCUGAGUUAAAAGCCUAGGUGAAUACUAAGAGUAUCUGGUUAAGAAGGUGAAGUGCCCAUCACUCCCUUCCACACAGCACUGAAUGGCUACUGGCAGAGGGACAAUGCCUGGCAUAUAGUAGGCAUAUAGUAGAUAAGUGUUUGUGGAUUAUUUAUUGGGGAAAGAAUCAGUCGUUCCAUCAUCCCUUGCUUUGCUGGGUGCUGUAGGAGGCAGCGUGGGGGCACUGAAAGAAGCACAGAUAGGUGAUUUGGAAUCAUAAGAUGUGAGUUUCGUUGAAGGUCUGACACCUAUGUGAUCUUAGGGGUCAAGGUACAGUGUAUCGAACUGUGACUGAUCAGACCCAGAAGGGCUAGGAAGGCCCUACGACAGAGCACAGCACCUUCUCUGAUGCCAGCAUGCCAUGAUGGG
Phascolarctos cinereus (koala) is the source of this 490-nucleotide non-coding RNA. The record is from RefSeq and is a predicted model, not a curated record. NCBI's taxonomy places the organism in Eukaryota, Metazoa, Chordata, Mammalia, Diprotodontia, Phascolarctidae.